This 567-nucleotide ribosomal RNA is filed under the name Alternaria alternata. RNAcentral's name for it is "eukaryotic LSU rRNA". The stretch from base 196 to 349 matches the Rfam family "5.8S ribosomal RNA". The record is from RNAcentral. Lineage: Eukaryota; Fungi; Ascomycota; Dothideomycetes; Pleosporales; Pleosporaceae.
UCCGUAGGUGAACCUGCGGAGGGAUCAUUACACAAAUAUGAAGGCGGGCUGGAACCUCUCGGGGUUACAGCCUUGCUGAAUUAUUCACCCUUGUCUUUUGCGUACUUCUUGUUUCCUUGGUGGGUUCGCCCACCACUAGGACAAACAUAAACCUUUUGUAAUUGCAAUCAGCGUCAGUAACAAAUUAAUAAUUACAACUUUCAACAACGGAUCUCUUGGUUCUGGCAUCGAUGAAGAACGCAGCGAAAUGCGAUAAGUAGUGUGAAUUGCAGAAUUCAGUGAAUCAUCGAAUCUUUGAACGCACAUUGCGCCCUUUGGUAUUCCAAAGGGCAUGCCUGUUCGAGCGUCAUUUGUACCCUCAAGCUUUGCUUGGUGUUGGGCGUCUUGUCUCUAGCUUUGCUGGAGACUCGCCUUAAAGUAAUUGGCAGCCGGCCUACUGGUUUCGGAGCGCAGCACAAGUCGCACUCUCUAUCAGCAAAGGUCUAGCAUCCAUUAAGCCUUUUUUUCAACUUUUGACCUCGGAUCAGGUAGGGAUACCCGCUGAACUUAAGCAUAUCAAUAAGCGGA